GCUCCUGAGAUCAAGUACUCUAUUUGCUUCGGCUUUCCAAUAUGCUGGAAUUACAAGCAUCAGCCACUGAGCCUGGCCACUUUUUUUUUCUUUUUGAAUUUUCAAGCACCAAGCAAGUCUUUCUUACAGAUUCUCUGGGACAGUGUUCUGCACUACAGUAAUAUUAUUUUUAUGUGUUUCUGUGUCUUCUCAAUCUGAUCCUACCCUUCUCAUGGAUGGGGAAUAUCUUUGUAUUCUCCUAGGAUCUUAACACCAUUUCUGAAAUGUUACAGGUCCUUGAUAAGUGUCUGUUCAUUAGUCAAGUGUUCAAUAUUCAUUGAAUGUCCUAUACAUGUUCUUUAAGUAGCACAGACGGGUCUCAAGGUAUGAGAGAAUCGCCUUGACUCUGUGCGUCACAGAGCACUUAGUGUUAGACUGAAAAUUUAUUAAUCACUUGCAUCAAAGGAAAAGGCUCACAUGAAAGUUGCUUGAUGAUCAACACCUCCAAACACACACAUUAUCCUGAUCCUUCAUCUAAUGGUUAAGUUAUGGUUCUCAGAGUGGUAGAAAAGACCUAUUACCAGAAAACUAUAAUCACGUGAUAAGUGCUAUUAUUCCUGUGUAAGAGGAAAUGUAGGAAGCACAUGGGAGGGGCCCCAAGCCAGUGGGCAGGGGAGGCUUCUUAUAGAAGGUGAUAGAUCACCUGAGCCAAGGGGCGUGCAGGCUGUAUAGGCAGAAUGAGGGAGGGUGUUUCACAAUGAAAGAGCGAUAUGUGAGUCAGCCUGGAGACCCAGACAACAGGUUGUCUUUGAAGAGCUGAAAGCGGUUUAACAUGAUUAGAGAUUAUGGGGACAGAGGCAGUGAGUUAUCAGGUUCAAGGCUGAGUGGUGAAACAUCAGGAAGGGCACCGUAAACUUUUUAAAAGAGUUUGGCCUUUAGCCAGAGGACACUGGAAAACAACUGAAGGGUUUUAAUCACUGGGGUAAGCUCAUUGUGAAAUAGUGGCCUUGCUGGUGGGCGGAGAGUAGAUUUGAGCAGGGCAAAAUACAGGCAGUGAGACCAGGAGACAACGGGAAUCAUCCAGGAGGGCCUGAGUUGUUUCCCAGGCUAGAGUAAUGCCAGUGCCUUUGGAGGGAGCCUGGUAUGGCAUGAGAUAUUUAUAAGGUAGACGUACUAGGGCUGGAUAGAAUGUGGACAUUUGAAGGUUGGAGAAAUAAGGAUUGCACUUAUAGAAAUGAUUCUUUUCAUUGGUAAAGGAAACACAAAUAACUGAGUUAUAGAAGAAAGUUCAUGAAUUUGGGACAUUCUGAGUUUUAAGUGUCUGUGGAACAUCCACAUGGGGAUAUACAACUAUGAAAGUGCACGUUUGAGUCUGAAACUCAUGAGCUCAUUCCCUGGAAAUAGAGAUUAUUAGAGGUGAGAACCCAUAGGAGACCAUGAAUGUAAAGAAGUAGAUGAAGCUGUCCGGGGUUAAUUCAGGCACUGAGAAGAAGCCCAAGGUUGCGGUAUUUACAUGCAACGGAAACCCAACCACAGAGCUGGCUAAAGGGUUGUGCUGUGCUGUCACUCAUUUUUCACUUCCUCAUUCCUUUGCCCAGUUACUUAUUCAUUCAUUGUCAUAUUCAUUCUUUCCUUUCUCUAUUCAUCUAUUUACCCGGUAAUCAUUUAUUGAGCCAGACGCUGGGCUAAGCUCUGAGUAGUCACAGAUGAAUGAGAUACAAUUUCUGAUCUAAAAGGGGCAAAUGUCUUAGUUUAAUAACAGCCAAGGCAGUCAAUAAGAUUCAUAAUGACAACACAAGGUAAUAAGUACUUUAAUGUUAGUAGAGAAUUAUUUGAAUGUAGGUUCCCCUACUCUGGGAAUGCUUUCACAAGGAGAAAAUGCUCGAGUGGAGACUUGAAGGACAGACAGAGCCCGGAGAAGUAGGUGUGGACGUGGUGGAGUAUUGUAGAGCAAGGACUAUUGCAUAAAAUGCAUGGACCUCAAGAAAUUCCUAAUUGGUCAACGUGACUCAGCCAAAGGGUAUUGAGAUAAGAAGUGUCUCUAGGAGCUCAUGAUGAAGGACCUUGUACACUGUGAUAAGUAAUUUAAACAAAUCUUGGAAGCAGUGGGAAGCAACAGCUUGACUUUAAUCUACAUGGUUUUAAGAGGCAUGAUGGAUCGGAGGUUUGGUUGAUGAAUCACUCAGUGCAGAAGGAGACGAAAAGGCAGGAUGAGGUUGUGCUCAAAACCUCACUGGAAUGAUGAGGGUGUGACUGCAGUCACAGGAGUGAUGGAGAGAUAUAACACCAUCUGAGAGAUGCCAAGUGGUACAGAGCCUUGUGUGACAGCAGAGCUCCUAUGUCUACAAGCUGGCCUCACACACAGCUGACAUCCAGCCAGGAUACUGCUACAUUCCAGGGUUCCAAGAGAGGAUAUUAAUACAUGAACUAUGAAAAGAGAGAAUCAGUAUGGCAGAUAGAGGAGCAUCUGAGCAAUGUUUGGGAUUUCAUGACUUCUGGAUAGUCAAGAAGAUUUGCAAACAUUUUUUGCAAAUGACAGCUUUGAAGCAUUGAGAUGGGGGAAGGUUUCAGGCUGCUGAACUAUUCCCUGGCAUUCUUCCAAACCAAGGCCAAUCUCCGUGGAACAAUGACUGGCAGCUCUUCUUUGGUAACAUGGCCUCCUGAACUUUCCUUGCUAUUCUCCCUCCUUGUUUCUGCCCAGGGUUGUGUUCCUUCCUCAGAGACUGGCCAAGGGUGAACUGAGGGAUGGCAGCUGCCACGUGACAUGUUUGCCAUGGUGCAUUUACAUUUGCCUGGUGCCUGAGCAGCUGGACACGCAGGCAAGAAACUCCCAUUGCUUGUGUUCAUAUGCCGCUCCCUGCUCCCUGGCAGCUGGAGAGGAAGACAAGGCAGGGAAUCGGGGUCUCCUGUCAUAUCCACCUCCUGCCGCCAUCACCAUCUGCACACAAGGCUGCAGGGAAGCCCUGUCUCCCUGCCCGUCACCAGGAGCCAAGGAAAAACACUCCAGGUGUAAGUGGCAGCUCGGGGACCUCAAGGCAGGGUGCAUCCUGUCCCCAGCAGAAACCAGCUGUUUCUUUACAGCUUUUAUACAGCAUCUAUUUUCAUUA
Sapajus apella (tufted capuchin) is the source of this 3086-nucleotide long non-coding RNA. RefSeq lists it as uncharacterized. The record is from RefSeq and is a predicted model, not a curated record. NCBI's taxonomy places the organism in Eukaryota, Metazoa, Chordata, Mammalia, Primates, Cebidae. The transcript is spliced from 4 exons.